RNAcentral lists this transfer RNA (72 nucleotides) under Phrynosoma platyrhinos (Desert horned lizard). Its description in RNAcentral is "tRNA-OTHER". The record is from RNAcentral. Lineage: Eukaryota; Metazoa; Chordata; Lepidosauria; Squamata; Phrynosomatidae.
GCUAGGAUGGUGUAGUGGUUUGAACAUUGGACUAUGACUCUGGAGACCAGCGUUCAAAACCCGUCUCAAGCA